UACGUAGGGUCCGAGCGUUGUCCGGAAUCACUGGGCGUAAAGGGCGCGUAGGCGGCGCGGAUAGUCGGCGGUGAAAGCCCGGAGCUCAACUCCGGGUCGGCCGUCGAUACUUCCGGGCUUGAGCACUGUAGAGGCAGAUGGAAUUCCGGGUGUAGCGGUGGAAUGCGUAGAGAUCCGGAAGAACACCGGUGGCGAAGGCGGUCUGCUGGGCAGUUGCUGACGCUGAUGCGCGACAGCGUGGGGAGCAAACAGG
This 253-nucleotide ribosomal RNA is filed under the name uncultured bacterium. Its description in RNAcentral is "partial 16S ribosomal RNA". It matches the Rfam family "Bacterial small subunit ribosomal RNA", at positions 524 to 776 of the family's 1533-position model. The record is from RNAcentral.